AGACGGAAGGGGCUAGCGUUAUUCGGAAUUACUGGGCGUAAAGGGCGCGUAGGCGGAUUAGUAAGUUGGGAGUGAAAGCCCGGGGCUUAACCUCGGAACUGCUUUCAAAACUGCUAGUCUUGAGUGAAGUAGGGGGUGAUGGAAUUCCUAGUGUAGAGGUGAAAUUCUUAGAUAUUAGGAGGAACACCGGUGGCGAAGGCGGUCACCUGGACUUCAACUGACGCUGAGGCGCGAAAGCGUGGGGAGCUAACAGGAUUAGAAACCCUAGUAGUCC
Molecule: ribosomal RNA, 274 nt
Filed under: uncultured bacterium
Lineage: Bacteria
Description: partial 16S ribosomal RNA
Rfam family: Bacterial small subunit ribosomal RNA
Source: RNAcentral